This 447-nucleotide ribosomal RNA is filed under the name uncultured bacterium. RNAcentral's name for it is "partial 16S ribosomal RNA". It matches the Rfam family "Bacterial small subunit ribosomal RNA", at positions 29 to 523 of the family's 1533-position model. The record is from RNAcentral.
AGCGAACGCUGGCGGCAGGCUUAACACAUGCAAGUCGAACGCCCCGCAAGGGGAGUGGCAGACGGGUGAGUAACACGUGGGAACGUACCCUUUGGUUCGGAAUAACUUGGGGAAACUCAAGCUAAUAACGGAUAAGCCCUUAUGGGGAAAGGUUUACUGCCGAAGGAUCGGCCCGCGUGUGAUUGGCUAGUUGGUGAGGUAAUGGCUAACAAAGGCGACGAUCAGUAGCUGGUCUGAGAGGAUGAUCAGCCACACUGGGACUGAGACACGGCCCAGACUCCUACGGGAGGCAGCAGUGGGGAAUAUUGGACAAUGGGGGCAACCCUGAUCCAGCCAUGCCGCGUGAGUGAUGAAGGCCUUAGGGUUGUAAAGCUCUUUUACCCGGGACGAUAAUGACUGUACCGGGAGAAUAAGCCCCGGCUAACUUCGUGCCAGCCGCCGCGGUAA